This is a non-coding RNA of Solenopsis invicta (red fire ant), 414 nucleotides long. The record is from Rfam. Lineage: Eukaryota; Metazoa; Arthropoda; Insecta; Hymenoptera; Formicidae.
CUGGUAAAGCGAAUGAUUAGAGGCCUUGGGGCCAAAACGACCUCAACCUAUUCUCAAACUUUAAAUGGGUGAAAUCUCUGGCUUUCUUGAAACUUGAAGCCACGAGCAUCUUAAUCUCGGAUCAGAGUGUCAAGUGGGCCAUUUUUGGUAAGCAGAACUGGCGCUGUGGGAUGAACCAAACGCAAAGUUAAGGCGCCCAACUCGACGCUCAUGGGACACCAUGAAAGGCGUUGGUUGCUUAAGACAGCAGGACGGUGGCCAUGGAAGUCGGAAUCCGCUAAGGAGUGUGUAACAACUCACCUGCCGAAGCAACUUGUAACCGGACUCGACGUGUUAGUGUUGUUUCAGCCUCGGGUUACCGGAAUUAACAUUUAAAAUUUCAAAAAGCUAAGUUUUGUUGGUCGUUUAUUCUCG